UUUAUCGGCGUGGCAAACGGGUGCGUAACACGUGCUUAAUCUGCCCUGGAGUGGGGAAUAACUAUCGAAAGGUAGGUAAUUCCGCAUACGUCCCAUAUUAUGAAAUAUGUAUGGGAGAAAGAUUUAUCGCUCUAGGAGGAGAGUGCGGCCUAUUAGCUUGUUGGUAGAGUAAUAGCCUACCAAGGCUAUGAUGGGUAGCUGGUCUGAGAGGAUGAUCAGCCACAAUGGGACUGAGACACGGCCCAUACCCC
RNAcentral lists this ribosomal RNA (251 nucleotides) under uncultured bacterium. Its description in RNAcentral is "partial 16S ribosomal RNA". It matches the Rfam family "Bacterial small subunit ribosomal RNA", at positions 86 to 339 of the family's 1533-position model. The record is from RNAcentral.